UUCAAAUCUCCAGCAAUGGUAUAAACAUGGCCACCUUGGGAAUUGGACUUGAUGCAAGAAUCUGCAUCCACGUACGCUGGAUCAUCCAGUAUAGGAUUGCUGCAAUUCAUGUAAACUACGUGCUGGAAUAGUCGUAAUGUUCCAGAAGGUAUUCUGUACUGGAAAUUUUGAUAUGGAUCCUCGUAGUAAGUAUAAUUGUAAGAACUUGUGAAAUUUGAUGAGGUUAGGAAAUUCCGGGGAAUUGAAGAGCAAUCACCUUCUUUUAUUCCAGGAUCAACUAACCGAAUUGUGUAGUUAUUGUAGUUGAUUGAUUUUACAUGGUAUUUACCAGAAAGCAGCUUUAACAUUGUGAUGUUUUUUUCGCAGGAUAACUCGUACCUCGGAUCACCGCAGGUUGCUGGAUCAUUCUUAAGUCGGAAGGGAUACUUUAUGUUGCUGAUUUUGCCACAUGAAGAAGGGGGACAAGUUUUAUUAAUAUUACUAUUUGUUGCAUCACAUGUUUGAUGAUGAUGC
RNAcentral lists this long non-coding RNA (513 nucleotides) under Medicago truncatula (barrel medic). RNAcentral's name for it is "long non-coding RNA (MTRU_LNC000060)". Lineage: Eukaryota; Viridiplantae; Streptophyta; Magnoliopsida; Fabales; Fabaceae. The record is from RNAcentral.